Molecule: transfer RNA, 90 nt
Filed under: Candidatus Moranbacteria bacterium CG_4_9_14_3_um_filter_36_9
Lineage: Bacteria; Candidatus Moraniibacteriota
Also listed under: 1 other name
Description: tRNA-Ser
Rfam family: tRNA
About the family: Transfer RNA (tRNA) molecules are approximately 80 nucleotides in length.
Source: RNAcentral
GGAAGGGUGGCUGAGCGGUUGAAAGCACAGGUUUCGAAAACCUGCAGAGGAGCAAUCCUCUCGUGAGUUCAAAUCUCACCCCUUCCGCCA